RNAcentral lists this transfer RNA (83 nucleotides) under Treponema sp. RNAcentral's name for it is "tRNA-Leu". It matches the Rfam family "tRNA". Rfam says of the family: Transfer RNA (tRNA) molecules are approximately 80 nucleotides in length. Their secondary structure includes four short double-helical elements and three loops (D, anti-codon, and T loops). Further hydrogen bonds mediate the characteristic L-shaped molecular structure. tRNAs have two regions of fundamental functional importance: the anti-codon, which is responsible for specific mRNA codon recognition, and the 3' end, to which the tRNAs corresponding amino acid is attached (by aminoacyl-tRNA synthetases). tRNAs cope with the degeneracy of the genetic code in two manners: having more than one tRNA (with a specific anti-codon) for a particular amino acid; and 'wobble' base-pairing, i.e. permitting non-standard base-pairing at the 3rd anti-codon position. The record is from RNAcentral. Lineage: Bacteria; Pseudomonadati; Spirochaetota; Spirochaetia; Treponematales; Treponemataceae.
GCCGGCGUGGUGAAAUGGCAGACACGGUAGACUCAAAAUCUACUGGCCGCAAGGUCGUAUCGGUUCAAGUCCGAUCGCCGGUA